UGCAGUCGAACGAACUUCCGUUAAUUGAUUAGGACGUGCUUGCACUGAAUGAGAUUUUAACAUGAAGUGAGUGGCGGACGGGUGAGUAACACGUGGGUAACCUGCCCAGAAGCAGGGGAUAACACCUGGAAACAGAUGCUAAUACCGUAUAACAGAGAAAACCGCCUGGUUUUCUUUUAAAAGAUGGCUCUGCUAUCACUUCUGGAUGGACCCGCGGCGCAUUAGCUAGUUGGUGAGGUAACGGCUCACCAAGGCGAUGAUGCGUAGCCGACCUGAGAGGGUAAUCGGCCACAUUGGGACUGAGACACGGCCCAGACUCCUACGGGAGGCAGCAGUAGGGAAUCUUCCACAAUGGACGCAAGUCUGAUGGAGCAACGCCGCGUGAGUGAAGAAGGGUUUCGGCUCGUAAAGCUCUGUUGUUAAAGAAGAACGUGGGUGAGAGUAACUGUUCACCCAGUGACGGUAUUUAACCAGAAAGCCACGGCUAACUACGUGCCAGCAGCCGCGGUAAUACGUAGGUGGCAAGCGUUAUCCGGAUUUAUUGGGCGUAAAGCGAGCGCAGGCGGUCUUUUAAGUCUAAUGUGAAAGCCUUCGGCUCAACCGAAGAAGUGCAUUGGAAACUGGGAGACUUGAGUGCAGAAGAGGACAGUGGAACUCCAUGUGUAGCGGUGAAAUGCGUAGAUAUAUGGAAGAACACCAGU
Molecule: ribosomal RNA, 701 nt
Filed under: Pediococcus pentosaceus
Lineage: Bacteria; Bacillati; Bacillota; Bacilli; Lactobacillales; Lactobacillaceae
Description: bacterial SSU rRNA
Rfam family: Bacterial small subunit ribosomal RNA
Source: RNAcentral